This 254-nucleotide ribosomal RNA is filed under the name uncultured bacterium. RNAcentral's name for it is "partial 16S ribosomal RNA". It matches the Rfam family "Bacterial small subunit ribosomal RNA", at positions 524 to 776 of the family's 1533-position model. The record is from RNAcentral.
GACAGAGGUGCCGAGCGUUAGGCGGAAUCACUGGGCUUAAAGCGUGUGUAGGCGGAUCCGUAAGUACCUUGUGAAAUCCCACGGCUCAACCGUGGAACUGCUUGGUAUACUGCGGGUCUUGAGCCACCUAGGGGCGAGCGGAACAAGUGGUGGAGCGGUGAAAUGCGUAGAUAUCACUUGGAACGCCAAUGGUGAAAACAGCUCGCUGGGGGUGUGCUGACGCUGAGACACGAAAGCCAGGGGAGGCAAACGGG